UUUAAAUACACUCUAUUUAAGAUAUUCAUAUUUUAUAGAUCGAGUAAGUGUAAGAAUUUUCAAGAUUUUGAAUUUUUUGGCUAGAAUUAAAAAGAGAGGCGAUGACAAAAGAAUAGAAAAACUUGAUAUAAAUGAGUUUCAAAUAAUCUCAAAUAAAUUCAGUAAUCUUGAUACAGACAACGAUUGCGUAUUAAAUAAGGAACAAUGCAUUACAUUGGUUGAAUCUAUUGGUUACUGUCAUUCUAGUAGUGGAUUCGUAGUAACACAGAACGAAAAUGACAAUGAAAAUCUCAAAAGUUCUGUAGUUAAUUUAAAGAAAGAAAUUUAUGAUGAAUAUAGCACACUAUACAAAUUAAGUGAUAUACUGAUAAAAGUAUUAUUCUACAAGGCACAACUGAACAAUAAACAAUUUGGUAAACGUUACAAUUUUGAACCCUCUUAUAAUGUAAUAUAUAAAAUUUCAAAAUUGCAUUCUCCAAAUGAUAUAUAUAUAUCUUAUUACGGAUUUUUUUAACUAUUAUUUAAAAUAUUCUACAAUUAUAAAAAAUUGUAAUCCCUACAUCCAAUAAUUUAUUGUAUUUCAUUAUUAUUAUUGCUUUAAGUUUAUUUAAAUUUUAUUUUCAAUUUAUUGUAGAUUCUGUGCCACUCUUGGUUUAUUUGUACUUGUAAUUGCCUAAAAUGAUCCGCCAAUCUUAUUAUUUGGACAGAAAUACCAAACGGUAUGUCUGUUAAAUGUCAUAAAUUCUUUUUGUCAUCUAUUUUAUUUGCAUAUCCUAAUAAUAUUUUUAAGUCACGUUAAAUAAAAAAAAAUUUGGUUUCGUCAA
This is a long non-coding RNA of Daktulosphaira vitifoliae (grape phylloxera), 824 nucleotides long. RefSeq lists it as uncharacterized. NCBI's taxonomy places the organism in Eukaryota, Metazoa, Arthropoda, Insecta, Hemiptera, Phylloxeridae. The record is from RefSeq and is a predicted model, not a curated record. The transcript is spliced from 4 exons.